UGGGGAAUUUUGGACAAUGGGCGAAAGCCUGAUCCAGCAAUGCCGCGUGUGUGAAGAAGGCCUUCGGGUUGUAAAGCACUUUUGUCCGGAAAGAAAUCCUCUGGGUUAAUACCUCGGGGGGAUGACGGUACCGGAAGAAUAAGCACCGGCUAACUACGUGCCAGCAGCCGCGGUAAUACGUAGGGGUGCAAGCGUUAAUCGGAAUUACUGGGCGUAAAGCGUGCGCAGGCGGUUUUGUAAGACGGAUGUGAAAUCCCCGGGCUUAACCUGGGAACUGCAUUCGUGACUGCAAGGCUAGAGUAUGGCAGAGGGGGUAGAAUUCCACGUGUGAGCAGUGAAAUGCGUAGAGAUGGUGGAGGAAUACCGAUGGCGAAGGCAGCCCCUGGGCAAUACUGACGCUCAUGCACGAAAGCGU
This 415-nucleotide ribosomal RNA is filed under the name uncultured bacterium. Its description in RNAcentral is "partial 16S ribosomal RNA". It matches the Rfam family "Bacterial small subunit ribosomal RNA", at positions 355 to 762 of the family's 1533-position model. The record is from RNAcentral.